Saccostrea cuccullata (small rock oyster) is the source of this 487-nucleotide long non-coding RNA. RefSeq lists it as uncharacterized. Lineage: Eukaryota; Metazoa; Mollusca; Bivalvia; Ostreida; Ostreidae. The record is from RefSeq and is a predicted model, not a curated record. The transcript has 3 exons.
UUUUUUUCUUUUGAUUUGGUUUCUGACUCUAAGAAGAUUGGAUGUAUCGUCUGAAAUGUUUUACAAAAAGGGGACAUGCGGCUUUGUUGGAAAGAAACCAAUUUGUUGUGAAGGUUUCAGAUGGAAUAUAACGGAGGAAACAUGUCAAGAAUGUAAACCGGGAUACUAUAAGCAUAAUUGUUCCACUCAAUGUCCUUAUCCUGCAUAUGGUGAAAAAUGUCAGCAGAAGUGCAUCUGUAAUAAAUCAUCAUGUAACUUCAUGAAAGGAUGCAUCAUAUUUGGUAAUACAUUCUUUAUCUUUUUAUGAUAUUUCAUAACUACAUCAUAAGUAAUCAACAGGUUCAACACAUUUCCUUUAUACUUAAUUAGACUCUCCGCUGACUUUUUGUCCCCAAAUGUACAAUUUUGAGGAUUAUUCAGACUGUUUGAUUUGACUUUGGACAGCUAUGCGCACCAAUUUGUUGCUUUUACCGUUGAAAUUUUUGAU